UACGGGGGGAGCAAGCGUUGUUCGGAUUUACUGGGCGUAAAGGGCGCGUAGGCGGCGCAACAAGUCACUUGUGAAAUCUCCGGGCUUAACCCGGAGCGGCCAAGUGAUACUGUCGUGCUAGAGUGCGGAAGGGGCUACUGGAAUUCUCGGUGUAGCGGUGAAAUGCGUAGAUAUGCGGAGGAACACCAAUGGCGAAGGCAAUCUCCUGGACCUGCACUGACGCUCAUGCACGAAAGCGUGGGGAGCAAACAGG
This 253-nucleotide ribosomal RNA is filed under the name uncultured bacterium. RNAcentral describes it as "partial 16S ribosomal RNA". It matches the Rfam family "Bacterial small subunit ribosomal RNA", at positions 524 to 776 of the family's 1533-position model. The record is from RNAcentral.